GACGAACGCUGGCGGCGUGCCUAAUACAUGCAAGUCGAGCGCAGGAAACUGACGGAACUCUUCGGAGGGAAGGCAGUGGAAUGAGCGGCGGACGGGUGAGUAACACGUAAGGAACCUGCCUCAAGGAUUGGGAUAACUCCGAGAAAUCGGAGCUAAUACCGGAUAGUUCAACGGACCGCAUGGUCCGCUGAUGAAAGGCGCUCCGGCGUCACCUUGAGAUGGCCUUGCGGUGCAUUAGCUAGUUGGUGGGGUAACGGCCCACCAAGGCGACGAUGCAUAGCCGACCUGAGAGGGUGAUCGGCCACACUGGGACUGAGACACGGCCCAGACUCCUACGGGAGGCAGCAGUAGGGAAUCUUCCACAGUGGACGAAAGUCUGAUGGAGCAACGCCGCGUGAGUGAUGAAGGUUUUCGGAUCGUAAAACUCUGUUGUAAGGGAAGAACACGUACGAGAGGAAAUGCUCGUACCUUGACGGUACCUUACGAGAAAGCCACGGCUAACUUCGUGCCAGCAGCCGCCGUAA
Molecule: ribosomal RNA, 524 nt
Filed under: uncultured bacterium
Lineage: Bacteria
Description: partial 16S ribosomal RNA
Rfam family: Bacterial small subunit ribosomal RNA
Source: RNAcentral